Molecule: long non-coding RNA, 233 nt
Filed under: Elaeis guineensis (African oil palm)
Lineage: Eukaryota; Viridiplantae; Streptophyta; Magnoliopsida; Arecales; Arecaceae
Description: long non-coding RNA (EGUI_LNC069699)
Source: RNAcentral
UGGUGAUAAUUGGAGGUGGUGGUGGCAGAAGAUGAAGCGGCAAAGGAUUGCAAUGUAGAUGAUCCAAGUCCCGAUCGACGGACUUGAGCAAGAUCAGAUGCUACCGAUUUGAUGAGUUGGGGCAUCGAGUUAAAGAUUGCCCAUAGCUCAGAGAUCGGAUGAAGGCUACUGUGGGGAUGGCAGGUAGCGAUACAGAAGAAAGUAAUAAUAUUAUUUUGAUGACUGAUGAGGUA